CCUACGGGUGGCAGCAGUGAGGAAUAUUGGUCAAUGGACGAGAGUCUGAACCAGCCAAGUAGCGUGAAGGAUGACUGCCCUAUGGGUUGUAAACUUCUUUUAUAUGGGAAUAAAACGUUCCACGUGUGGGAUUUUGUAUGUACCAUAUGAAUAAGGAUCGGCUAACUCCGUGCCAGCAGCCGCGGUAAUACGGAGGAUCCGAGCGUUAUCCGGAUUUAUUGGGUUUAAAGGGAGCGUAGGUGGAUUGUUAAGUCAGUUGUGAAAGUUUGCGGCUCAACCGGAAAAUUGCAGUUGAAACUGGCAGUCUUGAGUACAGUAGAGGUGGGCGGAAUUCGUGGUGUAGCGGUGAAAUGCUUAGAUAUCACGAAGAACUCCGAUUGCGAAGGCAGUUCACUGGACUGCAACUGACACUGAGGCUCGAAGGUGUGGGUAUCAAACAGGAUUAGAUACCCUUGUAGUC
RNAcentral lists this ribosomal RNA (460 nucleotides) under uncultured bacterium. RNAcentral describes it as "partial 16S ribosomal RNA". It matches the Rfam family "Bacterial small subunit ribosomal RNA", at positions 338 to 795 of the family's 1533-position model. The record is from RNAcentral.